Long non-coding RNA from Panicum virgatum (switchgrass), 3714 nucleotides. RefSeq lists it as uncharacterized. The transcript has 4 exons. NCBI's taxonomy places the organism in Eukaryota, Viridiplantae, Streptophyta, Magnoliopsida, Poales, Poaceae. The record is from RefSeq and is a predicted model, not a curated record.
UGGCAGGCGUGGCGGUGGGCGGUGGCCCUCCGUCUCCUUCCCGGCGAGGCGGCGAGGGAGGCCUCCUCUCAUUGCCGCGACGCCCGAAUUGCCGUCCUGCGCACGUCGCCAUCAACCCCGCCCCGAAGCGGCCAAGUUACAGGCCACCAGCCGCCGCCUCGCUUCUUCACGUUGGGAUUUGGUUCCCCUACCUACUACAUACAAUGACCAAAGUAAUGUUGAUAAUUUGGAGAGUUUGGGUCACUCGUAUGAGAUACAACCCUAUACGCACAUGCCUCAAGAUCAACUUGAACCUUAUAGGCCCUCGUGGUCUCUGAAUCCGGGAUACUAUGAUGCCUGCAUGGAAGGGACUCCUCAAUAUGAUAAUCAUACACUGUCAUCUAGUGAAUGCUGGGAUAUGUCAAGCUUAUUUAUGUCUCCAUUCUAUCCUCAAGAAAUGCAAGUAUAUGAGCAGUCUUAUGGUGACGAGAAUGUCUAAAUUGGCAGAGCAACUGGAACACUUUCUGAAGAUGACCAUCAGAUAACUAAAUCAGAUGAUGGAGCUAACCCUAUUUAAUCACUUCUGGCCCUUUGGAGAGUAUUCAACCUAUACUGUAUACUCUAUUUUAGUCAUGUUGCUUCUGGUUCAGCUGUAUAAUUGUAUCUGCAUUUGUUUUAAAUUUACUUGGUCAAGUGUAAAUAAAGAAUUUAUUUGUAAGAGUUUAUGUUCCAAAUAUAUAAAAGAUCAAUUUCUGCAGUGCUGUCUUGAGAUACAUUUAUCAUUUUCUGAUUAAGCUAACCUGUACUAUGUUUUUCCUUACCAGUGCUUGUUUUGUACCAGAAUAUUAUGAAUUCAUGAUUGUGAAUAUCAUCACAUAUUACGCUUGAGUUAUUUUCUGCCAGUUUCAUCCAGAAGUUACAAGAUGGCUUAACUCGUACCUCAGUCUCAGUUUACAAUUUUUCAUCUUGUCCAACUAACCUAGCUGUUUUGCCAUCCUCUGUCUAUGUUUCUCACCAUGUCCUGUCUCAAAUUUAUUAGGUGCUGGAAAACAAAACGAUCAUGUCAAGAUCUUCGCGGUGUUCUGCUCGCUCUGUGACUCUCUGUGUCAUUGGAUACCAGAGGGCAGAGGCCAUAAUAUAGCUUGUUCAGCUACUUGCUGUUGUAUCCUUAUCAAUUUCUAUGAAGAUAAUCAUUUGCAACAUGUUCUAUAAAACAUUUCUUCAUGGUACAUACUCCCUCUUCCAUUCCAAAUUAUAGGUUGUUUGACUUUUUUAAUCCCAAGUUUGAUCACUCGUUUUAUUCAAAAAGUUUAUACAAACAUAGUCAAAUUUAAGUCAUUAUUGAAGAACUUGUAUUGAUAAAGCAAGCCACAACAAAAGAAGUGAUAUUUUGCACAAAUUUUUGAAUAAGCCGAGUGGUCAAACUUGAAGUCAAAAAAGUCAAACGACAUAUAAUUUUGAAUGGAGAAAGUACUACUUUCUCAGCAGAAUUGUUUCGAAAUUACCCCUUUUCAAGCUAUUUAUUUCAACACUAGGGAAAUUUGUAGACAGCACAUCAGUGUAAUUCUGGUGGUGGACUGGUGGGUGGGGGUGGGGGCGAUCACAAUGUAUCCAGGACAUUAAAAAAAAGAAAAAAACAAAGACAGUGUUGUCUAUCAAGAAACAAAGAAAAGCCCAGAGCUGCACUGUUUUCAGGACUUAUAAAUUGCCUGAAAACCUGAGUAUCAAGCAACCAAAAGGGGACUUGAUGGGCGAUAUGAAGCUGCUACGGCUCCAUCCAGUUACAGAAAACAAUUGAAGACAUUGGACCCAUCAUUCCAAGCACGAUCAGAUUUUCAAAAAAAAAAAAAACUUCCAAGCUGUCACUUCUGCGUAUCUCCUAGGCCCAUAGUCUGCUGGUGCCCCCAACAGGAAAUCCUUGGUUGGUUAGCUAGUGUUCGUUGCGCUAGCUUCGCUAUUUUCAUGUUAAAUGUCCGCAACUAUCCUGGGCCUGCUUGGCCUGGCCCAAUUGUUCCUUCUAUCGUCCUCGAAACUAGGUGGGGAGAGAUGAUCCAGGAGCGGAAUAUGAACUGCAGAGGUUCCAAAGGUGCGAAUUAAUACAUUUCUGAACUCUAUCAUGAAUCAUGAACUAACUAAACAAGGUAAGAAAUAUGAGAACACCAAUACACUGCUUGUUUCAUGGUAGCACCACUAAUGCACACUGAUCCGCUUUUGUUGCAUGUAGUAUCUACUUUUUGCUUGCCCGGGGGAUCGUGAUCGAACAAACAUGCCUUUCUGCCAUGCGCAAUUUUUUAGCUACAAUACAUGACUAGCUUUUACAUAUCUCCGCAUUGUUUCGGUUAGUUCCCCGUACGUGUAAAGGGGUAUCAAAAGAAUCUUCUUGCUCCUGCAAUACGGUUUGAGAAAUGCCAGACCCACUCACUGAGCAUAGAUAUAUUUUGAAUGGUUCUUUGUUUUCAUGAAUCAUGGCCCUUUAAAUAAGGUUACCUUACCCUGGGGAAGAUAAAAAAAGCAAAGGCUGGCCAAAGGAAAUAGAAAGAUGCGAUGCCCAUUGAUAUCUAAGCUCAUCGUACCCUACUCUUUAGUCUUUAAUCUCUUGCUUGCUUAGUUGGGCUGCCGUGAAAUCAAGAUACAGUUGAAAAGUGAAUAACUUUGGCAUAACUUCCUUAUUUGACCGAACCUUUUCACACAACUACAUGUAAAAACACUGUCGAAACAAAAGCUGUGCAGAACACAAAGCAGCUGUUCUCAUGAUUCUUCAAUCUCUUGACUUUUUGCACUGUUAUCGAGAGAGCGUUAACCACUCACUUUGAGAUAGUGACGCAGAAAAAUGACUCUGGCAUACCUGAAACCAGUUGAGAUGGGUGACAGUGGGAAAUGUUUUAUGGAGUCAGCCAUGACUGGUUAUUGAAAUUUACCGAGGUGACUUUCUCGGUGUGGUCAAGUUGCAGCAUUCAAAUCUCAAUUCGCAGCAAGUUUUUCUGUUAAAGAACCUGAUAAAACGUCUUAUCAAAAGUUCAAAACCCAAAAUGCUUGCCAGCUUGGAACUAAGGUAUGACAAAAGCAAGUGCAUUAACAUAUACUAUAAGAGACCAGAUUACCAUUUGUUUUCAGUAUGAUUAGCAGCUUUUUAGUAUUGCUAGUGGUGUGCACAUGUCAUCUAAGCUUGCAUCCUUUCCCUGUUCGGAAUGAAUUUUUUAAAGCUGGUGCAUGAAGACAAGGACAAGUGGCAACAUUAUUAUUUGUGAACACAUAGGCCCAUAUGAUCUGAUGAUCCUGAGCAGAUCCUACUAUUUAAUUUGUUUCUGUAUUAUUCAAAGAGGAAGGGCAGAGAGAGACAGACUAUAAUUUGUACAGGUCGACCAAAGUUGCCACUUGAGCAUAGAGAAGGGCAAGCUGAUUUAUCACUACUUUAGUGAUGAGCAGAUGUAAGGAGGCACUGGCACCUCUACCUGAAAACCUACACAGACCACGGCUCUGGUGGCAACGACCUGUCUGCAACAGGAAUUUGAUCAGGAACAUGUGAGCUGAGAUGGAUGCUGCUGGUUCCAAGUAGCUUUCUUGAUAUAGUGUGAUCAGUGAAGACCCGUAUGCAGUAGCACUAGCUUGUGUAUGUACUCCAGCUGGGAGAUAUCAAGAUCUCCGCACUCCACAGUCCACAGUGCAGAGGUGGUCUCGUCUCUCCCCGAAAAUUUCGGCUGCAAGAGUCCAAGUGCCACCCACAUGGGGGGGGGG